AUUGAACGCUAGCGGGAUGCUUUACACAUGCAAGUCGAACGAGUGGCGGACGGGAGAGUAAUAUAUAGGAACGUGCGCAGGAGGGGGGGAUAACUACGCGAAAGAGUGGAUAAUACCGCAUAAUAGUGGAGCGGCAGAUAUGGGAUUAGCUAGUUGGUGGGGUAAAGUCUCACCAAGGCAACGAUCCGUAGCUGGUGUGAGAGGACGAACAGCCACACUGGGACUGAGACACGGCCCAGACUCCUACGGGAGGCAGCAGUGGGGAAUUUUGGACAAUGGGCGAAACCCUGAUCCAGCCAUCCCGCGUGUAUGAGAAGGCCGUCGGGUUGUAAAGUACUUUUGGCAGAGAAGCGUUAUCUGCAGAAUAAGCACCGGCUAACUACGUGCCAGCAGCCGCGGUAAUAC
This 405-nucleotide ribosomal RNA is filed under the name uncultured bacterium. RNAcentral describes it as "partial 16S ribosomal RNA". It matches the Rfam family "Bacterial small subunit ribosomal RNA", at positions 30 to 526 of the family's 1533-position model. The record is from RNAcentral.